CAGUCGAGCGGUAAGGCCCUUCGGGGUACACGAGCGGCGAACGGGUGAGUAACACGUGGGUGAUCUGCCUCGCACUCUGGGAUAAGCCUGGGAAACUGGGUCUAAUACCGGAUAUGAGCCUGGACUGCAUGGUCUGGGUUGGAAAGGUUUACUGGUGCGAGAUGGGCCCGCGGCCUAUCAGCUUGUUGGUGAGGUAACGGCUCACCAAGGCGACGACGGGUAGCCGACCUGAGAGGGUGACCGGCCACACUGGGACUGAGACACGGCCCAGACUCCUACGGGAGGCAGCAGUGGGGAAUAUUGCACAAUGGGCGAAAGCCUGAUGCAGCGACGCCGCGUGAGGGAUGACGGCCUUCGGGUUGUAAACCUCUUUUGACAGGGACGAAGCGCAAGUGACGGUACCUGUAGAAGAAGCACCGGCCAACUACGUGCCAGCAGCCGCGGUAAUACGUAGGGUGCGAGCGUUGUCCGGAAUUACUGGGCGUAAAGAGCUUGUAGGCGGUCUGUCACGUCGAUUGUGAAAACUUGCAGCUCAACUGCAAGCUUGCAGUCGAUACGGGCAGACUAGAGUACUUCAGGGGAGACUGGAAUUCCUGGUGUAGCGGUGAAAUGCGCAGAUAUCAGGAGGAACACCGGUGGCGAAGGCGGGUCUCUGGGAAGUAACUGACGCUGAGAAGCGAAAGCGUGGGUAGCGAACAGGAUUAGAUACCCUGGUAGUCCACGCCGUAAACGGUGGGUACUAGGUGUGGGUUUCCUUCCACGGGAUCCGUGCCGUAGCUAACGCAUUAAGUACCCCGCCUGGGGAGUACGGCCGCAAGGCUAAAACUCAAAGGAAUUGACGGGGGCCCGCACAAGCGGCGGAGCAUGUGGAUUAAUUCGAUGCAACGCGAAGAACCUUACCUGGGUUUGACAUACACCGG
RNAcentral lists this ribosomal RNA (920 nucleotides) under Nocardia sp. AMF1157. RNAcentral describes it as "bacterial SSU rRNA". It matches the Rfam family "Bacterial small subunit ribosomal RNA", at positions 59 to 994 of the family's 1533-position model. Lineage: Bacteria; Bacillati; Actinomycetota; Actinomycetes; Mycobacteriales; Nocardiaceae. The record is from RNAcentral.